RNAcentral lists this long non-coding RNA (216 nucleotides) under Elaeis guineensis (African oil palm). Its description in RNAcentral is "long non-coding RNA (EGUI_LNC043454)". Lineage: Eukaryota; Viridiplantae; Streptophyta; Magnoliopsida; Arecales; Arecaceae. The record is from RNAcentral.
AACCUCUGCUGAUCCUCUUCUUCCCUCUUCAUUCUUUCAUCUUCUCCACAUAAUCUUCCCUAACCUUCUUCAGUUGUUUCCUUGAUCAGGGAUAACUCCAUGUGAACCAUCUUCGUUUCUUCCACCCAACAUCAACUUCUCAUCAUUUACCAUUUAAAAAUCCCUUCUACAUCACAUUGCCAGAGGAGUUUGCCAUCUCUUUCUAUUGCUUAUUCC